UAGUGAGUUUGAUCCUGGCUCAGAACGAACGCUGGCGGCAUGCCUAACACAUGCAAGUCGAACGAGACCUUCGGGUCUAGUGGCGCACGGGUGCGUAACGCGUGGGAAUCUGCCUUUAGGUUCGGGAUAACUCAGGGAAACUUGAGCUAAUACCGGAUGAUGUCUUCGGACCAAAGAUUUAUCGCCUAAAGAUGAGCCCGCGUCGGAUUAGCUAGUUGGUGGGGUAAACGGCCUACCAAGGCGACGAUCCGUAGCUGGUCUGAGAGGAUGAUCAGCCACGACUGGGACUGA
RNAcentral lists this ribosomal RNA (291 nucleotides) under uncultured Sphingomonadaceae bacterium. RNAcentral describes it as "partial 16S ribosomal RNA". It matches the Rfam family "Bacterial small subunit ribosomal RNA", at positions 1 to 322 of the family's 1533-position model. Lineage: Bacteria; Pseudomonadati; Pseudomonadota; Alphaproteobacteria; Sphingomonadales; Sphingomonadaceae. The record is from RNAcentral.